UUGGCCAAUUCCCUAGCUGAAUGUGGAAUCAGAAUGCUAAGAUGGAGCAUUCACAAGAAUCCUUUCUUUCACAGCAGAAGACUUCUGGCCUUUUCUUCAUGGUAACCUGAGUCUGCGUCUCUGCCCUCCACACUGCUCCUGCCUCCUCUGCCUGCCUAGGGAGUCUUGGGGGUCUGGCCUUGUGCUAGAAACAGCCAGAGCUGUGGCACCUUGGCUUGUGUUCACACCCAGAGACCUCUGUGCCUCCUCCUCUGCUCUGUAGGGAGGAGGGAGGAGGGACCUUCCCAGGAGAUGUUCCCUGCCUAUCAUUUUCUGUUUCUGAGCUUCUAGGAGAAAGAAAGGUGGGGUUUCUACUGUCCAUUAUCUCUGUGGUCUUUAUAUUCAUAUUCAGUGUUCCUGUGGGAGGAUGAAAACCUUGGAGGGCCUCUGUUCUCUUUCUCUUGGGUCUGAUCACACCAAAAGUCCUCUGCUUCGGAGGAGCAGUGUAGGAGCUGAACUGCCAUGCACAGGGAAAUUGGGGGUUGGUACUGUUUUUCAGAUUUCCCUUUGUUGAUAUUUGGUUUUUCUUUUGUGAAUGAGGGUUUGGACUUAAUCUUUGAAAUGGAUCCUCUCUCUCUCUCUUUCUUUGCAGUACUGGGUUUCAAACCCAAGGCUUUGUGCAUACUGAGCAAUUGAACCCAAGGCUUUGUGCAUUCUGGGCAAGCACUCCAUGAUCAAUAGCUCAGGCUACAUCCUCAGCCCCUGAAUUGGAUCAUUCCCCCCCACCCCCAAUACUAGGGUUUGAAACCAGGGGAACUUUACCACUGAG
This 808-nucleotide long non-coding RNA is filed under the name Marmota monax (woodchuck). Lineage: Eukaryota; Metazoa; Chordata; Mammalia; Rodentia; Sciuridae. The record is from RNAcentral.